RNAcentral lists this long non-coding RNA (505 nucleotides) under Oncorhynchus kisutch (coho salmon). RNAcentral describes it as "lncRNA (ENSOKIG00005032368.1)". The record is from RNAcentral. Lineage: Eukaryota; Metazoa; Chordata; Actinopteri; Salmoniformes; Salmonidae.
CUGGGAGGAGGACCUGCUGCCUGAGGAGAGGGAGGUUCCUCUGCUAAAGUGAGUUCCUCUAAAUGUCUGUGUAGUCUGAGCUUGUCAGAUGCGGAAGGAUAGUGGUCAUAAUGCUGUUAUCCCCCAUUGACUCUAAUGGUUGACAUGCUCCAUUCCCUCCCUUUCACAGCCUCUACCUUACCACCAAGAGAGUGGAGGACAUCGCCCUGAGGCUCGUCUCCCUGCGCCAGGCCUUCACUACCCUGCUUGGUUCCACCCUGAGCAGGAACCAUCUGUUUGUGGCGGGAAAGGUCCUCCUGGGCGGCCUUGGUUCAGGCCAACCACAUGGACGAGGCCAAAUUCAUUCGUACCUAUAACGACUUUGUGGACUACCUGAGUGACCCCUCCAAGCGGAAUGACAUUGAGAGGGAGCUGGCUGAGGCAAAGGUGAGUUCAUUAACUCUUUCAAGUCUCACUGAGUUCUUCCACAUGCAUGUCUUUUAUACAUCACAGUAGCUGAUAUUUA